GCGGACCUGACUGCUAUCGGAGUGGGAUUAAGCCAUGCGAGUCGUACGUCCCCCAGCCGCGGGAGACGUGGCGAACGGCUCAGUAACGCGUAGCUAACCUGCCUUGGAGACGUGGAUAACCCCCGGGAAACUGGGACUAAUACGCGAUAGGCCAAAGCUUCUGGAAGGGGCUUUGACUGAAAGGGUUAGGUAAGCAUGCUUUACCUAAUCGCUCCAAGAUGGGGCUGCGUCCGAUCAGGCUGUUGGCGGGGUAAUGGCCCACCAAACCUAUAACCGGUACGGGCUUUGAGAGAAGGAGCCCGGAGAUGGACACUGAGACAAGGGUCCAGGCCCUACGGGGCGCAGCAGGCGCGAAACCUUCGCAAUGCGCGAAAGCGUGACGAGGCUACUCCGAGUGCCACUUGCUAAAGGUGGCUUUUCCCAGGUCUAAAAAAUCUGGGGAAGAAGGGGAGGGCAAGUUUGGUGUCAGCCGCCGCGGUAAUACCAGCUCCCCGAGUGGUCAGGACGUUUAUUUGGCCUAAAGCAUCCGUAGCUGGUUCUGUAGGUCUUCUGUUAAAUUCAGCGGCCCAACCGUUGAACUGCAGGAGAUACCGCAGGACUAGGAGGCGGGAGAGGCAGAUGGUACUUCGUGGGUAGGGGUAAAAUCCGUUGAUCCACGGAAGACCACCAGUGGCGAAGGCGAUCUGCCAGAACGCGCUCGACAGUGAGGGAUGAAAGCUGGGGGAGCAAACCGGAUUAGAUACCCGGGUAGUCCCAGCUGUAAACGAUGCGAGCUAGGUGAUAGGGUGGCUGCGAGCCAUCCUAGUGCCGCAGGGAAGCCGUUAAGCUCGCCGCCUGGGGAGUACGGUCGCAAGACUGAAACUUAAAGGAAUUGGCGGGGGAGCACCACAAGGGGUGAAACCUGCGGUUCAUU
This 913-nucleotide ribosomal RNA is filed under the name uncultured archaeon. RNAcentral's name for it is "bacterial SSU rRNA". It matches the Rfam family "Archaeal small subunit ribosomal RNA", at positions 17 to 906 of the family's 1478-position model. The record is from RNAcentral.